This 460-nucleotide ribosomal RNA is filed under the name uncultured bacterium. RNAcentral's name for it is "partial 16S ribosomal RNA". It matches the Rfam family "Bacterial small subunit ribosomal RNA", at positions 338 to 795 of the family's 1533-position model. The record is from RNAcentral.
CCUACGGGAGGCAGCAGUGAGGAAUAUUGGUCAAUGGGCGCGAGCCUGAAGCAGCCAAGUAGCGUGAAGGAUGACUGCCCUACGGGUUGUAACCUUCUUUUAUAAAGGAAUAAAGUGAGGGUCGUGUGCCUUUUUGUAUGUACUUUAUGAAUAAGGAUCGGCUAACUUCGUGCCAGCAGACGCGCUAAUACGGAGGAUCCGAGCGUUAUCCGGAUUUAUUGGGUUUAAAGGGAGCGUAGAUGGGUUGUUAAGUCAGUUGUGAAAGUUUGCGGCUCAACCGUGAAAUUGCAAUUGAUACUGGCAGCCUUGAGUAUAGGUGAGGUAGGUGGAAUUCGUGGUGUAGCAGUGAAAUGCUUAGAUAUCACGAAGAACUGCGAUUGCGAAGGCAGCUUACUAAACUGCCACUGACAUUGAUGCGCGAAAGUGUGGGUAUCAAACAGGAUUAGAUACCCGAGUAGUC